Molecule: non-coding RNA, 1566 nt
Organism: Xyrichtys novacula (pearly razorfish)
Lineage: Eukaryota; Metazoa; Chordata; Actinopteri; Labriformes; Labridae
Source: the annotation of a GenBank genome assembly
GAGAUAAACAAUCACAGGUUUAAAUUAUGCUGUAAUUCCUUCCUAUUGUUUAUGGAGGAUUUUUUUAGUUAAGUAUAAUAGAUAUCAUAGUAUAUAGUAUGAUAAAAAUGUAAUAGUAUAGCAUGAUCAAAAUACAGUACAAUAAUAUAAAAAAAAAAUUGUCAUAGAAUGGUAUGAUAAAGUGUCUUAGUAUAGUGUGAUGAAAAAUGUCAUAGUAUAGAAUGAUCAAAAAAAUCAUAGUAAAGUAUGUGAAAAAAAAUGUCAUGGUAUAGUAUGUUACAAACAUAGUAUAGUAUGAUACAAAUGUCAUAGUAAAGUAUAAAAAGUGGGAAUGUUAAAAAAUCAUAGUAUAGUAUGUGAAAAAAAUGUCAGUAAAGUAUGAUAACAAAAAAGUCUUAGGAUAGUAUGUUAAAAAUUGUCAUAGUAUAGUAAUACUAUAGUAAUAAAGUAAAAAUUUCAAAUGUAAGUGUAAAAAAUAUUUAUAUUUUGGUUUUGAAAAAAAAAAUUAUAGUAUAUGAAAAAAAUGUCAUAGUAUAGUAUGAUCAAAAAUUUCAAAUAUAAGUGUAAAAAAUAUUUAUAUUUUGGUUUUGAAAAAAAAAUUUGUAUGAUAUGAAAAAAAAUGUCAUAGUAUAGUAUGUUAAAAAUGUCAUAUUUAGGUAUGGAAUUUUUUUUCAUAUUUUAGUAUGAAGAAUUUUUUAUAGUAUGGUAUGAUAAAAAUGUCAUAGUAUAGUAUGUUAAAACUUUCAAAAUUUUGUUUAAAAAAUAAAUCAUAUUUCAGUAUGAAAAAUGUGUCAUAGUGUAGUAUGUCGAAAAUUUCAAAUAUAAGUGUAAAAAAUUUAUAUAUUUUGUUCUUAAAAAAAUAUGUUACAGAAUGAUAUGAAUUUUUUUUUAUUGUAUAGUAUGAUAAAAAUGUCAUAUUUUAUUUUUAAAUACUUUUUUUAUAUUUGAGUAUGAAAAAAAUCCGUUUAUUAGGAUAAAAAUGUCAUAGUACAGUAUGUUAAAAUUUUCAGAUAUAAGUACAAUUUUUUUUUCAUAUUUUAGCAUAAAAAAGAUCUCACAGUAUGAUAUGACAAAAAUGUCAUCGUAUAGUAUGUUAAAAAAUUUCAUAUUUUGGUACAGAAAGACACAUUUAUAUUUUAGUAUGAAAAAAAUGUCAUUGCAUCCUUGAAAAAAAUGUCAGAGUAAAGUAUGUUAAAAAUUUCAUAUUUUGCUAUGAAAAAAUAUUUUAUGUUUAAAAGAAAAUGUCAUAGUAUAGUAUGAUAAAAAUGUCAUAGUAUACUUCAAAUUUUCAUGUACUUUUUUUUCAUAUUUUAGCACUGAAAAAUUAUUCAUAGUAUAUUAUGAUAAAAAUGUCAUAGUAUAGAAUGUUAAAAUUUUCAAAUAUUAGUACGAAAAAAAAUAAUAUUUCAGUAUGAAAUAUGAAUAUAUUUUAUCUCACAGUAUAAUAUGAUAAAAAUGACAAAGUAUAGUAUGUCAAAAAUUCCAAAUAUAAGUGUUAAAAAAUAUAUAUAUUUUGGUCUUGAAGAAAAUUUAAUAGUAUGAUAUGAAAAAAAUUCAUAGUAUACU